This 3052-nucleotide unclassified non-coding RNA is filed under the name Leishmania donovani. Its description in RNAcentral is "gene:LdHU3.28.1080(CDS-product:hypothetical_prote in_conserved)". Lineage: Eukaryota; Euglenozoa; Kinetoplastea; Trypanosomatida; Trypanosomatidae. The record is from RNAcentral.
UCCUUUUUUUUUUCCUUCUUCCGAAGUAGUAUCUUCUGGGAAGCGGCCUUGUGAGCUGCGCAUUUGCAGCCUCCUCUUCCUCCUCCUCCCUCUCCAACGUCUUGCUUCACGCGCACGCACGAACGCACGCACGCACAAGCGGAAAAGCGCACAUGCGCAUGCGAAGCUAAGCGGGAAGAAACCAUAAUACAGAGUGAGACGACAACGCUAGGAUAGGCGAGGCGCCGAAGUACUUCGAUACGGCAGCAACGCAGGCAUCCACACUUUGAGCUAUACACACGCAGAGGCUGCAGGAGCGUAUGAGCGUGGCCGCUCAUCCGUGCCACGUACGUCUCCUCUCCCUUUUCCCGUUUUCUUGCCUUGUACUUUUCUUCUCUCAUGUUGUACCUCGCCACUGCACCCCGGCCACCUAGUUCCCUCACCUCGAUCUUUGUUGCUCCCCACCUCUCUUCUUGGCCGAGCUUCCGACAUCGUUGACUUGGUAGUCUCCGAAGCACUGGCCAGCGCCUUCAACUCUCCCCCUUCAGCGAGUUGUUUUUCCUGUGUGCCCCAUAUAUAUCUGCCCCCCUUGUUACUUUUCUUCUGACCUUCUCGUGCUACGAAGCCACAAAACAGAGGUAAAGCCAUCUGUGUCUGUGUCUGCUUGUGCGUGUCUGCUCCCUUUUGUUAUUCGAUUUUGUCUACUCCCCUCGUGCCCAUCUUGAAGGCCACCGUAGAGAGGAGCUCACACAAGCUAGCGUCGCCGCUUUUCGCUUUCCAGCAACGCCCGCCUUCUUGGGGCCACUUCAUCAAAAGCGAAAAUACAUCCUUCUACACACAAACACACACGCGCAUCAAAGUACCGCCUCCGACCUCGUUUGCCCCACUCUCUGUCUCUCGUGUUUUCGCGAGUGACGGCGUCACCUCGCCCUCUAUCCUUCACUCCACUGAUCGAGGGAGGUUUUCACGCACGUGCUAAGCACGACACCGCGCCAGUAAGGUCAGGACUAGCAGAAACGAGGGGGGGGGUGAAAGGGAAGGAAGAAAGGGGGGACGCCAUGUCAUCGCCAGGCGCGUUGCAGCCGUGGCAUGUGCGCUCCGAGAAGCUAUCAAGAAUCCCGAUGAUCCCGGUACUGGCCAUCAAGCACCCGGAGGAGCCUUAUUCUACAUCGCAAGCGACCGUAAACUCAACGACCACGUUUUCGCCCUCGUUCGCAUCUGCUCAGACGCCAGACGAUAUGGGCAAGAGAGGGAGAUCGACGGCCGCGUUAACUGAGGUGAACCACCUCGGGGAACGCUACAGCAGCUCCAACGGCUCCACGUCUGUCUCGGACGACGGACAGUGCUCCGGCGAAACGGCGGCGGUGUGCGCGCCGUUCCACUAUCACGAAAACUCAGAUUCCUGUGUGUGCCCCAUGUGUAAGCUGACACUUUACAUUUCCCACGUGUACCGCGAUCAGCGUCGCGCCUCCCCACACGUGAUGGCGGCGCGGCCCUCGCCCGAGUACGUGAUGGCCCCGGAUGGGUCACUGCCGCUGCUGACGCCGAUCUACAAACCAGAUGGCGUGUCGGUGUGCCCUGUGUACACCGCUUUUGGCUUCUGUCCCUUUCUCAGCGGCUGCUUCUUGCCGCACGACGAGGGCAGCUGCGCCUCCGCGCGAGUGCCGCGACUGGCGUCGGCGGAGGAGGAGCUGAAGCGACUGACGCAGCGGGCGAGGGAGCUGCAAUGCAGCGAUGUAUGGGCGUGUGAGGUGUGCGGCUACAGCCAUGUCGACGAGUUUUGCGAAGUGGCGCUGGGCACGGAGCACUACUUCCGUCAGUGCCCGCGUUGCACCUUGAUGUGCUUCUUUCCAAACAUCACGUACCUUGUGGAGCACAUCUUGUGCAGCGUUGGUGACGACUACCAGUUGUUCAAGACGGAGGUGGAUCGCUACCGAAGACUGCUGCCGGACUUGUUCAAGAUCCCGCUUACCUUCGAGGCUCACCGUGUGGCAAGCAUCGUUUUCGCAUGGAGUCUCCUCUCACCGGUGCACGCGCGUGACGCGAUGAACAGUGUUGUGCGGGAGUUUCCUAAUGUCGAGUCUAUCAUCAGCGUCGGGAGCGGAGCCGGGUACAUUGAGCACAUCUUCAACCGUGUCAUGCACCAGGUGCCACUGAGAGAGGAGUGGGCGGUGGAUCGAGAGCGCUUUCCCACGACAUCCUUCGACGACGUGCGGUGCGACUUCUACGGCAAGCGCACCAUCCCCAUCUUCGCCUUCGACGCGCUGGCGCUGCAGAGGACAUACAGCGUGCAUGUCUCCAUAGGGGGUCCGAUCUCCCUCUACUCGCUCAACUGCAAGCAGUCGGUGCUGCUGCUCUGCUGGCCACCGUUUGGCUCUCGGGAGCGGGAGGAGAGCUCGAUGGGCUUUGAGGCACUCGAGUACUUUACUCGCGAGGGUGGCUCGAUGCUCAUCUACAUUGGCGACACCGCCGCGACGGGGGACUGGCGCUUUCACAUGCUUCUCAAGUCCCACUACAAGCUUCUACGGGAUUACCCGGUGCGCCGAGAGCUGCGUCGGUGGUGUCCACAGGAGAUGGGCUUCGUGUAUGGCGGCAACGACACCAUCGGUGUCUACCAACUGCGCGAGACGCCGCUGUCUUCGGUGGGAUUCAGCUAGCGACCUUGAAAAGUCGAAGAGGGACAGGCACCGACUGGCAACAUUUCACAUCCUUCAAGAGGGUAAGCGGCAGGUUGAAGACGCGCCGUCAUCUACGCUCUCAAAAAAAAAGGGAAGCCCCUAACACAGACGCGGAUGCGCCCACGCGUUCUUCACCGGGGUUAGUCACAAGAAGCGAAAAUAGCAUGAGCCACUCGCUCUCGCAUAUGUCUGCCUGUCUGUCUGUCUCUCUCUCGCUCUGGGUUUGUGUGUGUUAUACUGGUUCCCUCCUCGCAUUUCCUCUCCUCCACGUCCUCUCGUUUUCCUUUGUGCGCUCUUUUCUCCCUCGACGCUCUCCUCUCCUCGCCUUCAUCCCGCGUUCCUUUUUUUUUGUUCACCUUCCCCUCCCCGUAACGUCCGAUUGCAUACCCAUAAAG